AGAGUUUGAUCCUGGCUCAGGACGAACGCUGGCGGCGUGCCUAAUACAUGCUAGUCGAGCGGAUCUUCUUCGGAAGCUUGCUUCUGAAGAAGGUUAGCGGCGGACGGGUGAGUAAUACGUAGGUAACCUGCCCGAAAGACCGGGAUAACUGGCGGAAACGUCAGCUAAUACCGGAUAGGAUGAUUUCUCGCAUGAGGGAUCAUGGAAAGGCGGAGCAAUCUGUCACUUUCGGAUGGGCCUACGGCGCAUUAGCUAGUAGGUGGGGUAACGGCCUACCUAGGCGACGAUGCGUAGCCGACCUGAGAGGGUGAUCGGCCACACUGGGACUGAGACACGGCCCAGACUCCUACGGGAGGCAGCAGUAGGGAAUCUUCGGCAAUGGACGAAAGUCUGACCGAGCAACGCCGCGUGAGUGAAGAAGGCCUUCGGGUCGUAAAACUCUGUUGCCAGAGAAGAAGAGCAGCCAGGGUAACUA
Molecule: ribosomal RNA, 475 nt
Filed under: uncultured bacterium
Lineage: Bacteria
Description: bacterial SSU rRNA
Rfam family: Bacterial small subunit ribosomal RNA
Source: RNAcentral